This is a long non-coding RNA of Loxodonta africana (African savanna elephant), 1654 nucleotides long. RefSeq lists it as uncharacterized. The transcript has 4 exons. NCBI's taxonomy places the organism in Eukaryota, Metazoa, Chordata, Mammalia, Proboscidea, Elephantidae. The record is from RefSeq and is a predicted model, not a curated record.
GAGUUCCCAAGAAGUGCCUGGUGGAUUUCAACUGCCGACCUUUUGGUUAGCAGCUGUAGUUCUUAACAACUAGGCCACCAAGGUUUCCAGAGAAAUGGAUACACAUCAAAAAUCACUCCGGUCAAUAUUUUUGAUCCUUAAAUUUUUUUCUGUUGAGAAAAACAAUGGAAAAAUUUAAAAACUAUCAAAAAUCAAGUUGCCCUCUUCACCUAAUGACCAGUAGGAAGUUUCCCCAACCAAAAACUUUGUACACAAUCAUGUAACCUAGUCUGUGUGAAACUCAGUUUCUCAUAUCAGAACAGUACCCACUUCCUCUUCUUUCAAAAUCCUAAAGGUAGCCCUCAAUUGCGGUUCUAUUCAUAUCAUGCCUUAGACUCUGUACUAUUUCUCCUCUUCUGAAUAGGAUUUGGGUUUCAUUUCAAAGCCCAUUUAGAAUGGGAAUGCCGACACCACGAAGCAUGCACAGAUUGAAAUCACAUCCUUCAACUGACCCCCCCCACCCACAAAUAUAGGCAUGGGAGGGCUAAUGGCAAGAAAUUCCUGGUACCAAACCCAACCCCCUGACGCCUUUGGAAACAAAAAACUCCCCAGCCCCCUUAGUCAGCAAGCACAUGGCCUUAAGGUCACUAGACCCCACGUGCUUCUUGUAUGUGCAGACAAUAAACUUGCCACUUUCUGUUUCCGUUGCAAUCAGUGUCCGUCUUAUUUCAAUCGGCUAAUAAGACAGGACAAGACCCGAGUGGCGUUCGGUUACAAAUUCUGGCGACUUCCGCCGCGACAGCUGACUGCGAAACCUGGGCGGUAUAAUCCAUACUGAAGGCUGUCAACUUUGACUUUCAUCGGUGUGGAAAAAUCUGGAAUGAUACGCAGGAAACUAAGAAUAAUGUUAACCUAUGGAAACAUGUUGAGACCUGGUGCUGUCAAGUUGGUUCCAACUCACAGCGACCCUAUGCACAACAGAAGGAAACACUGCCCGGUCCUGCGCCAUCCUUAAAAUCAUUGUUAUGCUUGAGCUCAUUAUUGCAGCCACUGUGUCAAUCCACUUCACCGAGGGUCUUCCGCUUUUCUCCUGACCCUGUACGUUGCCAAGCACAAUGUCCUUCUCCAGGGACUGAUCACUCCUGACAACGCGUCCAAAGUACGAAAGACGCGGUCUCACGAUCCUUGCUUCUAAGGAGCAUUCUGGUUAUACUUCUUCCAAAACAGAUUUGUUCGUUCUUUUGGCAGCCCACAGUAUAUUCAAUAUUCUUGGCCAACACUACAAUUCAAAGGCGUCAAUUCUUUUUUUUUUAAUACUUUUUAUUGAGCUUUAAGUGAACGCUUACAAAUCAAGUCAGUCUGUCACAUGUAAGCUUAUAUACACCUUACUCCAUACUCCCACCUACUCUCUCCCUAACGAGUCAGCCCUUCCAGUCUCUCCUUUCGUGACAAUUUUGCCAGUUUCUAACCCUCUCUACCCUCCUAUCUCCCCUCCAGACAGGAAAUGCCAACACUGUCUCAAGUGUCCACCUGAUACAAGUAGCUCACUCUUCAUCAGCAUCUCUCUCCUACCCACUGUCCAGUCCCUUCCAUGUCUGAUGGGUUGUCUUCGGGAAUGGUUCCUGUCCUGGGCCAACAGAAGGUUUGGGGACCAUGACUGCCGGGAUUCCUCUAG